This 1421-nucleotide long non-coding RNA is filed under the name Triticum aestivum (bread wheat). RNAcentral describes it as "long non-coding RNA (TAES_LNC008096)". The record is from RNAcentral. Lineage: Eukaryota; Viridiplantae; Streptophyta; Magnoliopsida; Poales; Poaceae.
UUCUCGGAGACAAAAACACACAUGAUACUUAAAUAAGAGCAACCAGAUCACAUAAUACAAGCUCUAUCCAUUCCAAUACAGAAGACCAUACUGCUUUACAUGCUCUACAAGUGUAACAAGCUCUACAAUUGUAAUACUAACAAGCUCUACAAGUUCUUAAAUUCAGACUCCUAACAAGCUCUACUAGAUGAACAACAUGCCGGACUCGCUCGACGACCAUAGUCAGGGCUGGGAACAAACAAAACAACAACAUGGCUUCCACUGUCAUCAUGUUACAUGAAUCAGAGAAGAAUUAGAAUAACUGGGGAAAAUAUAUGUCGUAGCUAACAAAGUAAGAAACAAUAGUUAACAAGUCUGAGUCAUAGAAGCUAGAAGUGUCCCUUUGGAGAGACGAGAACUUAGAAUUGAUGCAUGGAUCUUAUUCUAAACAGCAUAAACACCAUGGCAAUAACAAAUUAACAGUAACAAGAUCAGUGUUAGCAGAAUUAAGUACAAGGCAAUCACGGGUACCAAUCCAGUGCAAGUUAAUAGAGAAAAUAUGUCAAAGUUAAUCAGAUUCACUAAUGUGUUUUUCAUACUACCAAAUUGAAGGUAAAAGAUGUGUACUGCAGUGUUAGCAGAAUUAAGUACAAGGCAAUCAUGGGUACCAAUCCAGUGUAAGUUAAUAGAGAAAAUAUGGCAAAGUUAAUCAGAUUCACUAAUGUGUUUUUCAUACUACCAAAUUGAAGGUAAAAGAUGUGUACUGAUUCAACACUGCAAACUGAUUUCUGAAAGCUUUACCAAAACAUUGUUUAGUCGCUUGGUGCUAAAGCGAUAGAUGUUGAACACUAAAUGCCAGCGAUAGUAACAACCAGCAGGUACUGCACCUGCGACCGCCAUCACUAGCUUGGAAGCAAUAAGCACAACAUAGGUAGGAUAGGAAUCAUCCUGGUUGUGUGUUCACGAAUCACCUAAUAGGUGUCGUGCCACAUAAUUGAUUUCCUGAACUCAGUAUGCCACACUUGUCUAUCCCAAAUCAGGGCUCAUGAAUCCUCAUCAAAGUGUGAAAUUUUACCUGAAGUAGAGCAGUGGCCACGUCGAAAACCACGUACAUGUCAAUGGUCUGCGGGGCAUGAGAAGCACAUCAGGAACUCGACAGUCACAAGUGGCAGACGAAAAAAAAUACUGCUAGGGAAUCUGUACACGAAUGAGGCAUAGAGCAGCAAAAUAAGAUAUAUAUUCAUGAUCUUCACAGCAUGAAUCCAAAUCCUACGGCUGAUAGUGGCCCUUUUUAUACUACAAAAGACACCUGUACAUGACAAUUGACACCGUUCAAGAAUCACAACAGCACAAAUGCUUUUAAUUUUGCUCACGACCCACAGAUCCUAGAAUCAAACAGAAGUAAAACAGAAAUCUGACUAACAAUAAAUCCAAAAGCUUGC